UCUGAAGAGCAGCUGGAGCCUGUAAUCGCUGCCGAGGCAGAAACGGCUCACACCCACUGCGCGUGGUGCAAGGAGGGACAGAAGCCCCUCGCAGGCGAGUCUCGCGGCUGGGCCCACACACGAGGAUCGGGGCCCUGCUACUCCCCACCCCCAUGCCGGUGUUUUGACAUGACCGUCGGCGGAGGCUGAAUAAAGAGACGUCAUUUGGCAGCAGCCCGGCGUGCGCCUGAAGAGAGGAUCGGGGAGGAGCGGACCGAGGAGGGGGGCGGCAGCCGAGUUGGCAGGGUGGGGGCCAGGAUUACAGCAGCUUCCAGUGGACGAGGGCAGAGAGUGGGAGCAAUCCUGCCGCUACCGGCCUGAGGAGGAGCCCCCAGCAGAGGAGAUUUGCAUGCUGCUGCCGGCUGAUGCCGAGGCGAUUGCAGAAGGGUCCUAUGCAACCCAAACCCCUCCCCACCAAAUCAAGGGCAGAGCGGGCCAAAGGGCUGGCUUGAGAGAGCCAGGAAGGCCACCCCGCGGCCUGGAGAGUUUGCAAAGAAAGGAGCGACGCUCCCCAGCUGGAGGACAGCGUCUCCGGGAGCUCCGCCUGCGCUAAGGGGCGCAAGGAGAAAGAAACACAGCCGCCUUCGCGCCCCACCGUGCGGGGCUGCGAGGCGCAGGGCGGGAGAUGAAGGCUGCCCCGGGGAGCCGCCGCGCCGCGGAAACAGAACCAGCAGCUGGAUUUUGCGCAGGGGCCGGAUGGUUUCCCUGUAACAGAUGGACGGUCUCGCACCCAGGUUGCAAGGGGAGGCGAACGUGCAUGAUGGAUGGCGCGGGCCCGCCCUCGGGGGUGGCCGGAGAGCUCUGUUGCAGGGGCUGGAAGAUCUUGGACAGCCGGGCUAAUUGCAGCUAGGGGAAAGGAGCCUGUAUGCUCGUGGCUAAUUUCCCAGCUGCCAGCAGGGAACCCAACCAGAAAAACCCUCCGCAAAUGUGCCAGCCAAGGAAUCGGACGCCCAACAAGAUGCUGCUGCUGGAAAAGAUAUUCUACAGCUUGGCUUCUGUGCAGGACAGCUGUCAAACAUGGUCCAUCUGUAGCUACAGCUGUUGAUUCCAUUGCUGAAGGAAAGGAGCAGGCAGAAGACAAAUAGGGGGUUUCCACAGGACUAACCGAGUCAGAAGUACUGUCAAGUCAGCAUUGCAAUUACAGGGUUGUGUCAACUUUUUUUUUUUUAAUUGCACAUUUUAAAAUGUGCUUUGCUCGCUCACUCAGUGGAUGCCCAAAUGUAAUGGGUGAAAUAACAUGAUGGUUCAGGAAUAAUUCCUCUGCACUGACAUUCAGAAUAGAGAAGCAAGAACUCAUAGUUUCUUCUGACAUUUUAAAGAAACCACCAUGACCUUAUUGGUCCCCUUUCAGUAUAUCAGUCACUACAGAUGAGACCUCUAUAGCUCCUGACGUGGCAAAUGUACACAUAUUGAUCAGUUAAAUAGAGCUGUGAAGUUGAAAGGGAAAGAAAAUAGCAUUUUCCAUACACAUUUACCCCUAAAAAUUAAAACAAGGGCAUCAAAUAUUUGAUACAGGAUACAUUUCAGACUGAGCUACAAGUGUGUGGAAUUAAUUCAGCAUUAAGCAGAUACUUUGAUGGUACAGGCUGUAGUUAUUUAAAACUACAGUAAUUAGAUUUUAUAAACCAAUAGUCCUCAUAUCACUUAAGUAUUUAACAAAGUUAUCCCCAAUUCUGUUUUUCAAAGGUUGUUCUAGGCCACUAUUUUGAAUUAAAAUUGGACAUUUUGGAAGAGAAAUUGACCCAUUUCAACACUGCUGUUCUCAAGGUUCUUUGUCCACCUUUCCCAGUUAUUUAUAUAAGUUAGUCUACUAAAGUCACAGGCCCCAAUUGCUGAGUUUAUGAUGUAAGGUUACCUGCAGAGAUUAGUUCCCUUCAGUGACAAAUAUUGUAAAAAACAAUAUUGGUGCCCUAAGAAAACGACAGGGACCAACUAAAUAGUGUCCCAAAUCUUACCAUUUUCAUCACAAGUUUCACUCGUGUUUCAUAAAGCCCCAGCUCCUGAAGUAGGCAAGUACAUGAGAAUCUCAGCUCCCUCUCCCCCUCUGCCCAUUCUCCCCAUAAACUGCCAGCCUUCACUGGUGUGGAGAAAAAUGUAAAUAAAAAAUGCCCCAAAUUUAGUUAUUUUUUAAAAAUCUCAUGAUUUUUAAUACUUGGCAUUGGGGAUACUGAAGAAUAAUACUGUAAACAUCUAUCUCCAAAGGGCUUCACACAUACAGGAAAAUGUGCCAUCACUGUUACAAGCCAUCAGUUUCUACAACCGUAGCACCUCAUUUCCCAUAUGCAUUCAAGGCUUUUGAAACUGGUAUUUAUUAAAUUGAUUUGGGUCCACGCUAGACCUUGACAAUCCAAGCCUGGCUGUAUUUUACAGCUAGGACAAUCUAUAACAGUGGUUCUCAACCAAAAGUGACUGUACCCCUGGUGGUACACAGAGGUCUUCCAAGGGGGACAUCAACUCAUCUAGUUAUUUUUCUAGUUUUACAAUGGCUAUAUAAAAAGCACUAGCAAAGUCAGUACAAAAUUAAAAUUUCAGAGACUUAUUUAUACUUCUCUAUAUAUAAUAUACACUGAAAUGCAAGUACAAUAUUUAUAUUCCAGUUGAUUUCUUUUAUAAUUAUAUGGUAAAAAUGAGGAAGCAAGCACUUUUUCAAUGCUAUGACACCUUUGUAUUUUUAUGUCUGAUUUUGUAAGCAAGUAGUUUAAGUGAGGUGAAACUUGGGGGGUACUCAAGAGAAAUUAGACUUCUGAAAGGGGUACAGUAGUCUGGAAAGAUUAAGAGCCACUGAUCUACAAGACCUUCAGCAGUAUGACUGCAGGUAUGAGAAGAAAUGAAGGAUAAAUCCAUUGUGACACAAAUAUUCCUGUUUGGAUAAAAGAUUAUUGAAGCAUUUAAAUUACAUCAUCAAUUCAUUUAGAAUCAGAAAAUAAAUUAAUCUCAAGUUUCCAGAUGUCUUAUUUCUUAAUUUGUCAACACAUUGGGGGGGGGGGCGGGGGGAGGAUGUCUUCAUUAGCGUUAAACUUGCUACACGGAGCAUUGAGAAAAUGUCAAUAUCACAUCAGAGAAAGAAGUGUGCAUACUACAAGAAUGAUGGAGAAGGGCUUUAGAAUGCAACAGCAGAAAUCUGUGAUUUAAUAGAUAUGAAAUCAGUUUAAAUUUGUAUUAUCUUCAAAAACAAAUAAUGGAAUAUAAAGGAGGCUAAAGACCCCUUACUUUACUAGGUUUUUACCUGGAAAUCAAUUUCUCUUACAUAUAAGAAAUAGUACUUAGCAGUAUGGAUUUUUGAAUCUCAUCCAAAUGCAGAAUGACUGCCGUACACACAAAACAAUUGUUUGUCAAAAAUGUCACAAGGAUUUUUGUUAAACCCACAAA
Caretta caretta (loggerhead turtle) is the source of this 3408-nucleotide non-coding RNA. Lineage: Eukaryota; Metazoa; Chordata; Testudines; Cheloniidae. The record is from RefSeq and is a predicted model, not a curated record.